This 1561-nucleotide long non-coding RNA is filed under the name Rattus norvegicus (Norway rat). RNAcentral describes it as "long non-coding RNA NONRATT014403". Lineage: Eukaryota; Metazoa; Chordata; Mammalia; Rodentia; Muridae. The record is from RNAcentral.
AUCAAGAGCUUCCCGGCCCUCACGGAGCUUGUCCUUGCCGCCAGGGACCAGGCAGCUGCAGAGCAGCCCUAGGCGUCCUGGAGUGGGGAAAAAAGCAACCCUUGUCCUCCGAGUCACCUAGCAACAGCCUGCACCGCUGCCCACGUGUGGGGCCGUCUUUCACCCAGAAAGAACCAAAGCUUUUCCAUCGUAUGGAAGGAUGGCAGUCCUCCUAUACAGAGUGCCAGCUCCUGGCUCUCACCCCAGUGUCCAAACAAACCCACACCCCAGGAGGCUGCUGCUCAUCAUUUAUUCUCAGUUAGCGCCAUCUCCAAGGAGACGGCCUCUGCCUUGCUGGAAGGAGUGACGGGAAGCCAGGGGUGAAGGCACUGAUUUUUGCCCAGGAUAGCUCUCUGACGCUGGCCUUGUCUCCAUGGCUACACAGGAGGCAUCACACCACAUUUUGGGGGUUAUCCACUCUGCCCAGAAAGUGCAGCGCACCUGAGUCCCGCUCGUAGAUGGCGAACAGGAACGGACUGCUCAGGGUCACGUCCAGCACCUCGGGUGAGCCAGGCUGCUGGGCAGACUCUGUGGGCUGCUCCUCCUCGCCUGCUUGGAGUUCAAGGAGGAUGCUGUUGAGAACCUGCAAAGCAGAGACAUCUCUCCUUCAGGAGGGAUUACAGGACAGGGACUGGGCUCAACUGCCCCGAGGGGGGACGCUGUCCAGCCUGCCAGAAGGCAAUGUGUACACACUGUCCUCUACGUGGGGGCUGCGCACCGAACACUCUCACCCAGGGGCACGCGUGUCACGGAGAAGUUGUUCUGGGCGUCACUCCAGUGCUGGAAGUUGCCAGUGCCCGAGAGCAUGGGCACAGACACUGAGGUGCUGUUGUCCACCCAGAACUCAUGGAGCCCAGUCAGCUGGGAGAAGCCUCUCAUCUUCCCUGAAAGCAACAGAGACCAAAGGAAACUCAACGGGGGUAGGAUGGGGAGGCAGGGCUGGGACUCUUCCACCCUGGCUCCUGCCUCAGCUUCCUCACCUCUACUCCCUCUGUGAUGCUGUACUGACCUGGAGAUGUCACCUUCAGGUGCUCUCUGAUGCUACUUCUAAUUGUAGCCACUUGAGUUCCCUGCAGAGACCCCAAGAGCAGCAAAAAACACAGCCCAUGUUGGUGUGGAGUCUGAGGUCUCACAUGGGACACCCGAGGGACUCAGUCUGCUCCUACCUGAACAGACAAGCUCAACCCAGACCUGUUCUGGUUUGCAAACUCACUCUUUAGAACCUCAGACAUUAUUAUGGUCUGGAGAGAUGGCUCCAUGGUAACUUGGCUCUAUAGGCCUGAUGACCUGCACCUACAGCCCCAGUCCCUCGUAAGAGCCAGGCAUUGGGCUGGAGAAAUGACUCAGCGGUUAGGAGCACUGACUGCUCUUCCAGAGGUCCUGAGUUCAAAUCCCAGCAACCACAUGGUGGUUCACAACCAUCUGUAAUGGGAACUGAUGCCCCCUUCUGGUGUGCAAGUGUACCUGCAGGCAGAACUCUAUACAUAAUAAAUAAAUGAAGAAAAAAGAAAUGAGAAAUGUG